Molecule: ribosomal RNA, 498 nt
Filed under: uncultured bacterium
Lineage: Bacteria
Description: partial 16S ribosomal RNA
Rfam family: Bacterial small subunit ribosomal RNA
Source: RNAcentral
GAUGAACGCUGGCGGCGUGCUUAACACAUGCAAGUCGAACGAAGCACUUUAACUUGAUUUCUUCGGAUUGAUUGUUAUUGUGACUGAGUGGCGGACGGGUGAGUAACGCGUGGGUAACCUGCCUCAUACAGGGGGAUAACAGUUGGAAACGACUACUAAUACCGCAUAAGCGCACGGUAUCGCAUGAUACAGUGUGAAAAACUCCGGUGGUAUGAGAUGGACCCGCGUCUGAUUAGCUAGUUGGCGGAGUAACGGCCCACCAAGGCAACGAUCAGUAGCCGACCUGAGAGGGUGACCGGCCACAUUGGGACUGAGACACGGCCCAAACUCCUACGGGAGGCAGCUGUGGGGAAUAUUACACAAUGGGCGAAAGCCUGAUGCAGCGACGCCGCGUGAACGAUGAAGUAUUUCGGUAUGUAAAGUUCUAUCAGCAGGGAAGAAGAAUGACGGUACCUGACUAAGAAGCACCGGCUAAAUACGUGCCAGCCGCCGCGGUAA